RNAcentral lists this ribosomal RNA (401 nucleotides) under uncultured bacterium. RNAcentral's name for it is "partial 16S ribosomal RNA". It matches the Rfam family "Bacterial small subunit ribosomal RNA", at positions 338 to 731 of the family's 1533-position model. The record is from RNAcentral.
CCUACGGGUGGCUGCAGUGGGGAAUAUUGCGCAAUGCGCGUAAGACUGACGCAGCGACGCCGCGUGAAUGACGAAGGCCUUCGGAUCGUAAAGCUCUUUUGAUAGAGAAGAAAAUGCGUAUAAGUAACUGUUUAUGUAUUGACGGUACCUAUAUAGACAGCCCCGGCUAACUCCGUGCCCGCAGCCGAGGUAAUACGGAGGGGGCAAGCGUUGUUCGGAUUGAGUGGGCGUAAAGGGAACGUAGGCGGUUUGUUAAGUCAGUAGUGAAAGACUUGAGCUCAACUUUAGUAAGGCAAGUGAUACUGGAAUACUAGAGUGUAGAUGAGGAGGGCGGAACUCCAGGUGUAGCGGUGAAAUGCGUAGAGAUCAGGAAGAAUACCGUUAGCGAAGGCGGCAAUCUG